GAUGGACGCUGACAGAAUGCUUAACACAUGCAAGUCGACUCGAGUCUUCGGACUUGGGUGGCGCACGGGUGAGUAACGCGUAAAGAACUUGCCUCUUAGACCGGGACAACAUCUGGAAACGGAUGCUAAUACCGGAUAUUAUGGUUUUUUCGCAUGGAGGAAUCAUGAAAGCUGGAUGCGCUAAGAGAGAGCUUUGCGUCCCAUUAGCUAGUUGGUGAGGUAACGGCCCACCAAGGCAAUGAUGGGUAGCCGGCCUGAGAGGGUGAACGGCCACAAGGGGACUGAGACACGGCCCUUACUCCUACGGGAGGCAGCAGUGGGGAAUAUUGGACAAUGGACCGCAAGUCUGAUCCAGCAAUUCUGUGUGCACGAUGACGUUUUUCGGAAUGUAAAGUGCUUUCAGUCGGGAAGAAGUCAGUGACGGUACCGACAGAAGAAGCGACGGCUAAAUACGUGCCAGCAGCCGCGGUAAUACGUAUGUCGCAAGCGUUAUCCGGAUUUAUUGGGCGUAAAGCGCGUCUAGGCGGCAAGGAAAAGUCUGAUGUGAAAAUGCGGAGCUCAACUCCGUAUGGCGUUGGAAACUGCCUUACUAGAGUACUGGAGAGGUAGGCGGAACUACAAGUGUAGAGGUGAAAUUCGUAGAUAUUUGUAGGAAUGCCGAUGGGGAAGCCAGCCUACUGGACAGAUACUUGACGCUUAAGCGCGAAUGCGUGGGUAGCAUAAAGG
This 726-nucleotide ribosomal RNA is filed under the name uncultured Fusobacterium sp. Its description in RNAcentral is "bacterial SSU rRNA". It matches the Rfam family "Bacterial small subunit ribosomal RNA", at positions 28 to 776 of the family's 1533-position model. The record is from RNAcentral. Lineage: Bacteria; Fusobacteriati; Fusobacteriota; Fusobacteriia; Fusobacteriales; Fusobacteriaceae.